UUUUAUGGAGAGUUUGAUCCUGGCUCAGAGUGAACGCUGGCGGCGUGCCUAAUACAUGCAAGUCGAACGAUGAAGCUUCUAGCUUGCUAGAGUGCUGAUUAGUGGCGCACGGGUGAGUAACGCAUAGGUCAUGUGCCUCUUAGUUUGGGAUAGCCAUUGGAAACGAUGAUUAAUACCAGAUACUCCCUACGGGGGAAAGAUUUAUCGCUAAGAGAUCAGCCUAUGUCCUAUCAGCUUGUUGGUAAGGUAAUGGCUUACCAAGGCUAUGACGGGUAUCCGGCCUGAGAGGGUGAACGGACACACUGGAACUGAGACACGGUCCAGACUCCUACGGGAGGCAGCAGU
This 345-nucleotide ribosomal RNA is filed under the name Helicobacter pylori. RNAcentral describes it as "bacterial SSU rRNA". It matches the Rfam family "Bacterial small subunit ribosomal RNA", at positions 1 to 355 of the family's 1533-position model. The record is from RNAcentral. Lineage: Bacteria; Pseudomonadati; Campylobacterota; Epsilonproteobacteria; Campylobacterales; Helicobacteraceae.